Long non-coding RNA from Equus asinus (donkey), 7704 nucleotides. Lineage: Eukaryota; Metazoa; Chordata; Mammalia; Perissodactyla; Equidae. The record is from Ensembl.
CAGGGCCGUUCCUGAGGGUUCCGGCCCCACUGUCUGCUCCGUGGCCUAGUUGGGUGGGGUGUGCAGAGAGGUCCUGGGUCCCGGUGGGCCGGGCCGUGGGCACGGCGCGAGGGGCAGAGAGUGGGGCCCUGUCCCCUCAGAAGCCUCGGCCCCGUGUCUGGGGGCAGCCGGCGCCCAGAGGCCGGCAGAAGAGGCUCCGGAGCCGCAGAGAAGGCCUCUGAGCCCGGAGACCCGCCUGUGGUUCGCCCUCUGGGCCAGACGCAGGGAACGGGGCCCUUUGCUCCUUGUCCCGGUCCUUUGUCACCAAGGGCUGCUCGUUCGCGUCUGCGGGGACAGCAGGAGACUUCCAUCACCUCGGUGAAGGACACGGCCCUGGCCUGGUGAGCCCACAGGAGUCUGGGUGCUGACCAUGUUGUCGGGUGGCCCUCAGGAGGGUGAGCUUUCUGUUCCUCGUUUUGGCCUGUUGCAGGUAAGGUGCCUUGGGGUCCUUUGUGUGUCUUCAGCCAGGAAAGGCUCAGCCGGGCUUUUCUCAGAAUUCCCCGGUGGUGCUGGGAUCGCCCGACAUGCAGUACAAGGUCUGGAGUGGACAGACACUUCUUCUUCAAACUUCCUAUGGUGCUGAGUUUCUAAGGCCCUCGAAUGACAGGGAUUCUGAAGUGGAAAAGGGAAGGACAGAGGGACUUCAGCGUUGCGUUUUACAGGGUUCUCCUGAAAACAAGCAGCAGGAUACACACCCACGUGCACGUGCACACAUACACAGAUGUGUGUAUAGGCAUGUGGAGAGAGAGACUGACUUUAAUAUACUGGCCUGUGUGAGCAUGUGGGCUGGUGAGUCCAAAGUCUGCAGGCCAGGCUUGCAGACUAGAAGCACCUCUGGUGUCUAGAUGCUGUGGUCUAGAGGCAGAUUUUCUUCUUUGGGAAACGUCAGGUUUUGCUCUGAAAGCCUUCAGCUGAUGAGGCCCACCCGCACUGUUGACAGUCAUCUCCUUUCCUUAAAGUUGACUAAUUGCACCUGUUAACCUCGUCGGCAAAACGCCUUCACGGCAACAUGUGACUAAAUGUCCAGUUUGAUUAAACAGCUGCACACUGUGGCCUGGUCAGGUUGACACCUCAGGCUGACCAUCACAGCCCACGCUCCCUCAACGUGGCACCCACUCACAUCUCCUUUAGCUGUAUUAAUCUCCCAGUAAAGACAGGAAGAAGGUCAUUCUUCCUCCUGCCGUGGUCCACCUCUCCUGCGUACAACCCAAAACACACAAAUAUUGUCCCCAAGGCAGAUGCAAAGUCCUUGGGUGAGUUCACUCUUUUCCUUGCUGUUCAACCACUUGAAUAUUAUUAUGUGAAGUUAGCUAUUAUUGAUAAUUAUUUUGUUACAUGUCAUGUUACAUGCUAAGAAGAUAAGGAAGAGAAGAACAGAAUAGUAUUUGAUACACACACACAGUCUACAGUCCUGGAAGGUUUCCUGCAGUGGGGUUCUAGGGCUGGGGCUUCUCUGGAGGCAGUAAGAUGUUUUGUGGUUCUGGAAAGGCAGUCAUCUUGGUGAACUUUUAUCCUCUUGCAGCACCAGCGCCAGCUCUGAAACAAGCUCCAGAGCUAGUGCCAGCUCCUGAACCAGCAUGACCACCAGCUCCAAAGCUAGCAACACCGUGAGUGCUAGAUCUCGCACCAGCUCUAGUGCCAAAUCUGGACUUAGAGCCGGUUCUGGCACAAGCCGAAAAGCUAGGCAGACACACAGCAAACUCUAGCACCAGCUCUUGCAGCAGUUCCCGAGCUGGAGCUCCAGUGCCACUCCCAGAUUUAGUGCCAGCGCUAUCAGCAAAUCUAGUAUGAGCUCACAGCUAGAACUACUUCCAACACGAGAUGCUCAUGUCAAAGCCCUGGAACUACAAGCAGCUCCAGAACUAGCUCUAGCACCAGCUCCAAAGCUAGAACCAGCUUCAUCACUGACUCUGUCACCAACUGCAGAGAGAGAGGAACUCUAUUAUCAACCUAUGAGUCAGCUCCAGCACCAACCCUAACACCAGCUCUAGAGUUUGAAUCAGACCCAACAUAAAUUCCAGAGGAACAGAUCAUGACAGGAACUGAACUGGAGCCUACCCCAGUACCGGCUCUGGCAACACACUAGGACUCCAGGUAGCUGUAGCAUGAGAGCCUUCUCUAGAGCUAGUUUCAGCACCAGAACUAGCUCCAGCACCCAAUUCUAAGCUGGAGAAAGCCCCAGUGCCAGCUCCAGAGCUGGAGCCUACUCCAGCACAAGGUCCAAAACCAGAGCCAAAUUUCACAUGAGCUCCAGCAGAAGGUCGAGUACUUCAGUGGUCUUCAGAGCCAGCUCCAACCAAAGCUCCAGACUCACAGCCACUUGGAGCACCAGUUUCAGCACUCAAUCCUCUGCUAGAGCCGGUUCUAUUACUAGCUCCAGAAUUAGAGGAAGCACCAGCUCCACAGCCAGAGGUGCCUGCAACACGAGCUCUACCAAUAGCUUCAGCACCGGGGUUUGAGCCAGGUCCACAGCUGGAGCCAACUCCAGAUCCAACACUUACAUCAACUCCUGAGAUAUAGCCAGCUCCACCUUCAGCUCCAGUGCUAGUUGCUGGGUCAGAGCUGGUGUUCUCCCAUGAACUAGAGCAUGCUUGAACAGUAGCUAUAGCACCGCUCCACAGAUAGAGGAAGCUCUGCCCCCACGUCCUGGGUCAGCCAUGGGAAUAGUCCCAGUGCUCCCUUUAGAGUGAGAACCAGCUUGAUCCAGCUUCGAGCCAGUUCAAGGUUCCAAGGAAGAGCCAGCUCCAGCACCAGCUCUAGCAUUGGCUCCAGAAUUAGAGCCAUUCCUGGCACCCAGUCCAGAGCUAGAGUCAGCACUAAGUACAGAGCUAGAGGCUGCUUCAUCAACAGUUCUAGACCCAGCUUCAGAGCUAGAGCCCCCACAAGUGCCAGCUCUUGCCCCAGCUCCAGAGUGGGAGCAGGCUUGGCUCCUAGUAGUAGACUUACAGCCAGUGCCAGCUCCAGAGAAAGAACCAGCUCCAGCAACAGCUCUAGCCCCAACAUCAGUGCUAGAGCAGGCUGUGGUAGCAGCUCUAACACCAAUUUCAUAGAGACAGAGGCAGCUCUAUGCUCAACUGCUAUGCCACAGCCUGUAUAUGUCCCAGUGCCAGAAUCUGCCCUGAUUCCAAUUCCAGGGCCAGAGCUACAAACAGCUCCACCACCAGUUUUAGUCCCAGCUACAAAGCUAGAGCUAGGACGGGCAAUACAGCUAAACCACAAGAACCAGAUGUAGGACCAGAACAAGAGUCAGUGCCAACUCCAAAGCCAGAGCCAGCUCAAGCACCAGCUUAAGAGAUCAAGCCAGCUUCAGAAUGAGAACCAGGAGCCUCUACAGACAAAGCCAACUCCAGCACCAGCUAUCACACCAGCAACAAGUCCACCACCUGUUUCACAGCUAGAUCCAUCACUAACUCUAGCACCAGCUGUAACACUAGCGCUCUAGCUGCAUCGGGCUCUGGUAGCAGAUCCACAGCUCAAGCCACUCCAGCACCCCUCAGGAGUCAGCACAAGCUUCAGUGUCAGAUUCAGAACUAGAUCCACAGCCAGCCCCAGAGUCAGAGCCAAAAACAGCAAGAGCUCCAGCAGGAGCUGUAGUGCCAGAGUUACAGCCAGCUCAAGACCUAUAUCCCGCGCACAGCCAGACUACACUAUGUCUGAAGGUAGAUUGAGUGGAACACCUCUUCCAGAGCUAGAGCCAGUGCCAGCUAUGGAGCUAGAGCCAACUCCAACACCGGCUCGUGCAUCCACCCCAGAGGUUGAGCCAGCUCCAGCUUCAGCUCAGGUGCCAGUUCUGGGAUCAGAGGAAUCUUUUGGACUAAAGCCAGCUGCAGCACCAGCUCUAGAACUAGCCCGUGACACCUGCAUCCUGGGUGGGGCCAGGUGUGGGGCUGCGGGAAAGGACAAUUUCCACCAGGGAGAUCACUCUCAGGUACCUUGCUCACCCCCACACCCAGCUCCUGCUCCUCCCUCCGUCCAUGAGGUCUCAGCCCCAGGGUGUCUGUGCCCCUACUUUCCCAAACAAGGCUCAAAGAGGCCUCUGAUGUUGGAAACUGUGGCCAAUACCUUACAAACUGAACAGAGUUUGAUGCAUAAAUUCAACAUCGUGGAUUCUGUCCUAAAUAGAGCUUCAUGGAAGCAGAUGUUCCCUUCAGCAGGAUUCAGAGUGAAAAAUUGGGGACGGCCCGUAUUCCAUGCUGGGGCACUGCAAAAGCUCUGAUGCUGCGCCACAGACAGUACCAAGAGGAAGAGGACUGACAGGCAGUGUCGACCCUGGGCAGAUCAGGCUCUGGAAGAGCACACGCCGUGGAAUCCUCCCUGCCUGACACCCACAAGUGCACACACACAUGUGCACACUUGCGCGCACACUGUACAAGACUUCCUGUGGGCCACACUCCUGGCAUUCGCACUGCCAGCAAAGGUGGGAUCCCGGGGAACUUGGAUGGGUCCUGCAGGCUGUUCUCCCAGAGAGCAGUGUCCUUUCCCCCUGCUCUCCAGGGAUCUGCGGGGGCCUCUGCUUCCCCAAAUUCUCGCCAGGGCUGGUUGCCACCAGACCAGAACCCUCCAGUUUGGUGGUGACCAAUGCUGUCUCCACAGUGUUUACGUUUGCACGUGUCCUCAUGGGGGAGGUCGAGCGUCUCUGGCAUAUGCUGUCCCUAUGUCUCGCCUCUCGGGGAAUUGCAUGUGUUUGCUCUCUGUCCCUUUUAAAACAAUGACUUUCAAGAGUUUUUUGUUGCAGUGAGAGGUUUCACCUUUCUCUGAUCUUGGUUUAGGAGGAAUGCUUUCCAGUUUGUGGUUUGUCUUUCCAGCUCUCUCCAUUUUUCUUGUUUUUGUUUUGGCCACGGGAAGAGCCAGGCAUUUCCUGUGUGGCUUGGGGCUCUGGUGUCCCACUUAGAAGAGUGGUCUGUAGCCUGACUUAAUGCACAUGUUUACCAAAAGGGCUACAUUUUAAGCAUCUACUCCAUAAUCCAUUGGGACUCUCCUAUAGGCUAGCAAAAAUGCUAUUCAAGUAGAAAGAGAAAUGAAAAUUCGAUCAGUGCUUCUGAAAAUAUGGAAGCAGACUAGGAUGGCCACUUAUUGCAUGAUUCCACUGAUAGGAAACAUACAGAAAAGAUUUACAAAAACCUGCCAGAACACAGAAUAGGGGUUGUCAGGGAGCGAGGGAGGAAUGGGGGAUGAGCGUUUUUGGAACAGGGUUUCCUUGUGGUGGAGGGAAUGUUCAGGAACUGGACAGUGGUGAUGAAGGCCGAGCGUUGUGACUGUACUUAACGCUCAGGAAUUGUACAAUUGAAAAGGAGAAAACGCAGAGUUCUUCAAACAGAAAUCAAUUAAUUUCAAAAUUUAUAUAAACACCAAACAAAGACAUAAACACGAAAAUAAAAAAAUGCUAAACAUACAUAGAGGGUAACCAGGGAGAGGAAGGGAGGUUGUUGUGAGGGAGAAGGUGGAAGGGAUGGGUCAGGAGCUGGGGAUGACGGGGAUUGGAGAGGGAGCUCUCCCAGGGCCAACGCUGGGGCCUGAGACCACUGCAGGGGUCCAGCAGGAGCUGGAGCAGGGGUUGGCUCUCCCUGCUCCCUGGCGACAACUUCAGCCUGCCCCAGGGCCCUGGCAGGAGCCGAAGCAGGGUAUGGCUCUCCCUGAUUCAAGGCCCCGUCUUCAGUGGGCUCCACAGACCAAGAAGGAGUCAUAGCAGGGGAUGGCACUCCCUGGUCUGAGGCCUCAUCUUCAGCAAGCUCACAGCCAGGGCAGGAGCAGGAACUGGGGAAGGCUCUCCAUGCUCAGCUGGUUCGAGGACAGCCGGCUGCAUGGCACCUGCACCAGCCUGAGUAGGGGCUGGCUCUCCCUGCUUCCGGCGUGAGGCCCCACUUGUCUCCUGCUCUUCUGCAGGAGCUGCUGAAAAGGAUUGUUCUCCCCACACACGUGCUGAGUCCUGUGAUGGCUCUGAGGUUUUUAGAAGAGUCCCUGAAGACGCCGGCCUUUUCCCCACACAUGCCACUCCAGUGUUCCUGCACAGCUUCUCCUCCCUCGGGGAGAUGGACUCCGUGUCCCCUUCCACCAGCUCCACACCCAUCUCCCGAGUGGACCUCUGCAAAGACAGUGACCAACAGCCAGCCCAGAAGCAUCAGAGCCCUGCUCAGCUGCCCCUGCUCUUUCUUCUGCCCUCUGCGCCUAAUGCUCCCAGAUCAGGCACCACCCUGUGUCUGCGCAGAAUUCUCCCCGGGAUGAAACAGAUAGACCUCAGGGGCUCGGGAGAAACCUCGGGCAGACGGUGCUGCCCGGCACACCAUGUCUCACCCAAUCAGCCAUGAGCUGGGUUGGCAAUGGGACCAGCCCACCAGGCUUCUAACCCCUCAUCAGCCUGCUCCUCCUCGCAGUGGUCCACUCAAACCACCCUUCCACAUACACACACACACACACACACGCGCACACACACACACACACACAGAGGGAGGGGACAUAGUGCUGUCCAAGUGGCCUGGCCUGGAUUGGCCCACCCUGGGCGUCCCUGUGUUACCUUUGUGUCCCUCCCCACAAACGUCCAGAGACAUCUCAAGUGGGACAGGAGCCUGCAUCUGCAUCCUGGGCGCUCGUUGCAGGCUCUGCUGAGGCUGCAGCCCCAUCAGAUGGGCAGACAACACGAAAACACGGUGCUUCUGAUGCAGGGUCAGUGAGCCGAGGAGUCGAAAGAAAGAUUUUUUGGACUCUCAAGGUCUGGCAGCGGUGCUCUUUUAUUUAGAGAAUAGUACAGAAUAGCAUGGGGACAGGAUCCAUGGGCAGUGAAGAGCUGCAGGCAUGGGGACAGGACCCAUGGGCACUGAAGAGCUGCUGCUGCUGCUGCAUGGGGACAGGACCCAUGGCCAGUCGGAGCUUCUGCUGCUGCCUGGAGUUGAGGGUUAGUGCUAAAUUUAUAAGUCAUGGGUACAUGACUUAUUUUUACUGGAAAAAGAAAAGAUGAUGUAAAAUUCAUUAAAAGAUUUCAGUGCAGAUGGGUUCUGGUUAUUGUGCGCUCAUAUAACUUUAGACAUGAAUCUGGUCAUAUAGAUUGGCAUCUAGGUGAGGAUGCCCUGGGCUUCUCUCCCUGGGGCAGCCCUAAUUCAUACCAUAAAAAUCCACCGGGUCAUAUAGUUUGGCGUGUAGGCCAGGUCACCUUGGGCUUCUCUAACUGGGGCAGCCUUAAUCCACAUCACUCCUUCUAGACAAGUGCUAGACAAGUGAGCUGUUGGGGGCUGUCUCUAGGAGCUGGGUGCCUAGAGACCAGGGUUCCAAGUUCUCUUGGGCUCAGUGAGGUCAUUUCCUGGGGUCCCCUUCCCUAGGCUUCCUGCUCACACAAGACCUCCCUAAGGGCCCCCUGGGCUGCUGACUGCUCACCCCCCAUCCCAACACCAUGGCCAUCCACAGUUGCACCAACACAGCCCAUCCCACCGCCCCCGAGGAGGCCUGGCUCGAGUCAGAAGCCAGCGUUGGGGACGCAGAGCUGGUCAGACCUGGCUCCUCCUUCUUGCCAGUGAUGUCCCCCUGGACAGCCAUGUGCCUCUCAGGGCCUCCCCAUGCCCCAAUCUGUGCGGUGCGGGUCAUUCUAGCACCUACUUGCCACGGAUGUCUUCAGGUGUCUAGACCUAUCAAUCCCUCUAGUGCCUGUCAACCCAUGGGCCGCUACCCCAUGGAGCU